CUGGGAUGUGAUGGGGAGCGAAAUUUAGUAGCGAAGUAGCUGAUUUCACACUGUCAAGAAAAGUCUCUAUCGAGGUUAAAGGUACCCGUACCGCAAACCGACACAGGUGGGUGAGGAGAGUAUCCUAAGGCCCGCGAGAGAACUGUUGUUAAGGAACUCGGCAAAAUGACCCCGUAACUUAGGGAUAAGGGGUGCCACCAUCCGGUGGCCGCAGAGAAUAGGCCCAAGCGACUGUUUACCAAAAACAUAGGUUUCUGCUAAGUCGCAAGACGAUGUAUAGGAGCUGACGCCUGCCCGGUGCUGGAAGGUUAAGGGGAUCUGUUAGAGCAAUCGAAGCAGUGAACUUAAGCCCCAGUAAACGGCGGCCGUAACUAUAACGGUCCUAAGGUAGCGAAAUUCCUUGUCGGGUAAGUUCCGACCCGCACGAAAGGCGUAACGAUUUGGGCACUGUCUCA
Molecule: ribosomal RNA, 455 nt
Filed under: Clostridioides difficile
Lineage: Bacteria; Bacillati; Bacillota; Clostridia; Peptostreptococcales; Peptostreptococcaceae
Description: partial 23S ribosomal RNA
Rfam family: Bacterial large subunit ribosomal RNA
Source: RNAcentral